Molecule: ribosomal RNA, 114 nt
Filed under: Propithecus coquereli (Coquerel's sifaka)
Lineage: Eukaryota; Metazoa; Chordata; Mammalia; Primates; Indriidae
Source: RNAcentral
GUCUACGGCCAUACCAUCCUGAACACGCCCGAUCUCGUCUGAUCUCGGAAACUAAGCAUGGUCGGGCCUGGUUAGUACUUGGAUGGGAGUAAAAGGCACCCCUUGCUCAAGACA